UCGAGGGGUAUUGGUUUUCGGACCAGAGACCGGCGCACGGGUGCGUAACGCGUAUGCAAUCUACCUUUUACAGAGGGAUAGCCCAGAGAAAUUUGGAUUAAUACCUCAUAGUAUUACGACUCGGCAUCGAGAUGUAAUUAAAGUCACAACGGUAAAAGAUGAGCAUGCGUCCCAUUAGUUUGUUGGUAAGGUAACGGCUUACCAAGACUACGAUGGGUAGGGGUCCUGAGAGGGAGAUCCCCCACACUGGUACUGAGACACGGACCAGACUCCUACGGGAGGCAGCAGUGAGGAAUAUUGGUCAAUGGGCGCAAGCCUGAACCAGCCAUGCCGCGUGCAGGAUGAAGCAUCUAUGGUGUGUAAACUGCUUUUGUACAGGAAGAAACACUCGGUCGUGACCGAGCUUGACGGUACUGUAAGAAUAAGGACCGGCUAACUCCGUGCCAGCAGCCGCGGUAAUACGGAGGGUCCAAGCGUUAUCCGGAAUCAUUGGGUUUAAAGGGUCCGUAGGCGGUUUUGUAAGUCAGUGGUGGAAGCCCAUCGCUCAACGGUGGAACGGCCAUUGAUACUGCAAGACUUGAAUUAUUGGGAAGUAACUAGAAUAUGUAGUGUAGCGGUGAAAUGCUUAGAGAUUACAUGGAAUACCAAUUGCG
RNAcentral lists this ribosomal RNA (653 nucleotides) under uncultured Bacteroidota bacterium. Its description in RNAcentral is "bacterial SSU rRNA". It matches the Rfam family "Bacterial small subunit ribosomal RNA", at positions 62 to 717 of the family's 1533-position model. Lineage: Bacteria; Pseudomonadati; Bacteroidota. The record is from RNAcentral.